RNAcentral lists this ribosomal RNA (468 nucleotides) under uncultured bacterium. Its description in RNAcentral is "partial 16S ribosomal RNA". It matches the Rfam family "Bacterial small subunit ribosomal RNA", at positions 28 to 507 of the family's 1533-position model. The record is from RNAcentral.
GACGAACGCUGGCGGCGUGCUUAACACAUGCAAGUCGAACGGAAAGGCCCUGCUUUUGUGGGGUGCUCGAGUGGCGAACGGGUGAGUAACACGUGAGUUACCUGCCCUUGACUUUGGGAUAACUUCAGGAAACUGGGGCUAAUACCGGAUAGGAGCUCCUGUUGCAUGGUGGGGGUUGGAAAGUUUCGGCGGUUGGGGAUGGACUCGGGGCUUAUCAGCUUGUUGGUGGGGUAGUGGCUUACCAAGGCUUGGACGGGUAGCCGGCCUGGGAGGGUGACCGGGCACAUUGGGACUGAGAUACGGCCCAGACUCCUACGGGAGGCAGCAGUGGGGAAUAUUGCACAAUGGGCGGAAGCCUGAUGCAGCAACGCCGCGUGCGGGAUGACGGCCUUCUGGUUGUAAACAGCUUUCGCCUGUGACGAAGAGUGAGUGACGGUAAUGGGUAAAGAAGCACCGGCUAACUACGUG